UCAGAACAGCCAAGACAGUAUUCUUGCUAGUUAUAACCUAUUUCAUUGCUGCUCUUCAAAAUUCUCAAGAAAGAUUAGUUUUACAGGAAAAUGUCCUGACUAUAACAAGAAAAAAUCUCUCAAAGGAAGUUCCCAUCACCCGAAUCGUAGACAAGAAGCAUAUAAAGGUUACACUAUUUAAGUGCACAGCCACAAAACCUGUCACAAAGAGCAGUACAGAGAGAUGAAACCCACUGGCAAAUACUCAAUGCAAAAUAAACCAAGAUGUAAGCUCCGUGGAAAGUCGCACUGUUCAAACUCAGUGCCAGCCAUUGUAAAACCAGAGAGGCUUUACUCACUUGGCCUGCAUUCCCAAGCAACCCAACUCCAAGAAGCCACAGGGCCAGAGCACCGGGGGACUGCUACAAGCCACACACCACCUAUGGGCUGCAGCCUCAAUCACAAGGACCUGGGUCCCAGGAGAGCAGCACCAGGGAGCAGUGAUUGUGCACACCACAUGUCCCAUGCCCCACCAUGGGGCAGGAAUUUGGCACUGGGCUCAUGCAAACAUGGCAUGGUGCAGCUUCUGGAAGCCAU
This is a long non-coding RNA of Passer domesticus (house sparrow), 576 nucleotides long. RefSeq lists it as uncharacterized. The record is from RefSeq and is a predicted model, not a curated record. The transcript has 3 exons. Lineage: Eukaryota; Metazoa; Chordata; Aves; Passeriformes; Passeridae.